This 288-nucleotide long non-coding RNA is filed under the name Sorghum bicolor (sorghum). RNAcentral describes it as "long non-coding RNA (SBIC_LNC015866)". The record is from RNAcentral. Lineage: Eukaryota; Viridiplantae; Streptophyta; Magnoliopsida; Poales; Poaceae.
GAAUACAAGGAGCAACCAGUGGGGAUAGUAGAUACCAAGGAGCGAGUAACCUAGAACAAAGUGGUAAAAAUCUACAAAGUUGUGUGGACUCAUCAUGAUGAUAGAGAUGCCACAUGGGACAUCGAGGAUUACCUAAAAUUAGUUUACCCAAAGUUUCAUUAGAAAUGGUUAGUAACUCAAAAUCUCGGGAUGAGAUUUCCUCAAGGGGGGAAGGGUUGUAACACCCUAGGUGUUAAGCAUGCACCUAGUCUCACAACUCAUUCAUAAGCACUCUAAUCAAGCAUGGGC